UAUAAAUCCCAAUGAGACAACUGUCCACAAAAGGACACAGAAAUUAACAACUGUAGGUCACCGUACGGCCUUCAACAAUGAGCAAAGUCCAUAUCGCAUUGUCAUCUAUAAAAGGUUCAGAAAUAACAAUGAAAUCCAAUUGAAACGAGAAAACUAACGGCCUUAAUUAUAUAAAACAAAUGAACAAAAACAAAUAGUAAAGAAACGACAACC
This 213-nucleotide long non-coding RNA is filed under the name Mytilus galloprovincialis (Mediterranean mussel). Lineage: Eukaryota; Metazoa; Mollusca; Bivalvia; Mytilida; Mytilidae. The record is from RNAcentral.